RNAcentral lists this transfer RNA (85 nucleotides) under Felis catus (domestic cat). It matches the Rfam family "tRNA". Rfam says of the family: Transfer RNA (tRNA) molecules are approximately 80 nucleotides in length. Their secondary structure includes four short double-helical elements and three loops (D, anti-codon, and T loops). Further hydrogen bonds mediate the characteristic L-shaped molecular structure. tRNAs have two regions of fundamental functional importance: the anti-codon, which is responsible for specific mRNA codon recognition, and the 3' end, to which the tRNAs corresponding amino acid is attached (by aminoacyl-tRNA synthetases). tRNAs cope with the degeneracy of the genetic code in two manners: having more than one tRNA (with a specific anti-codon) for a particular amino acid; and 'wobble' base-pairing, i.e. permitting non-standard base-pairing at the 3rd anti-codon position. RNAcentral also lists the same sequence under 6 other names. The record is from Rfam by way of RNAcentral. Lineage: Eukaryota; Metazoa; Chordata; Mammalia; Carnivora; Felidae.
GCCUGGGUGGCUCAGUCGGUUGAGCGUCUGACUUCAGCUCAGGUCACGAUCUCGCGGUCCGUGAGUUCGAGCCCCGCGUCGGGCU